AUUUUUAUUCUUCUACAACAGAAUCAGGAUUAUAUAUACAGAUGUAAUCAGAUGCAAUACGUUGACCAAGUAAGUAUCCAAUCAUUUGGGAAAAUGUCAAAUCAUGUGACUAGUAUAGAAACCCAGAAACCAGAAUGUAGUGGCAAACAGAAAAGCAAUCAUCGUAUUUCAGGGUGGCAAGCAUCAUAACAGAAAAGUAAAGAGCCAUGACUAUCAUACAGAUAUUAUCAGUGUGUUCAUAAGUUUGCAAGAUUUUACAAAUAAAGCAUUUUCUUAUUAGUAGGAGUCAAUUACAUGAAUUAACCAACACUUGUAUCAUGUAUGAAGUUUACAGAUAGACGAUUAACCUCUAAUCUCCCUGAAUUAUUUAGCCUAUAGAUUUUUAGUCUCUCUAUAGACCUCUAAAUAUUUGAUUAUCAUGCAUUUGGUCAACCCUCUGCACAAGUGUUGCAUUGAUUAUUUACCAAACAUGCCCAAAUCACCUAAGACGAGACUCUACCAUCUUCUUUUACAAUAGGAGCUACCCUAGUUUUCAUUAAAAUGAUUGUAUUCCUAAUCCUAUCAUGUUUUGAGUAAUAUUCUUCUGCUAUGCAGGGCUUCCUUGUUAGCUCUUUACUGCUCAAUAUUCAUACUCAUACAUACUCAUGCCACAUUACAAUUUUUCUGUCACUAAUUACACUCAAACAUGCCUCCAUCUCAUUAACCCUACUUGGGUCUUCUAGUCUCCUAUCUCCGAACAUUUUGUAUGAUAGGUCCAAGGUACUUAAAACAUGAUAUUUGUGGUACUUUAUGCUAAAACUUUUCUAAUAAUUCUUGUGGGAUGCAAUCAAUCAUGGAUUUUUUGUUUGCCGAAAAACAGGCUAAUGUUUGAAUCCAUUUGAUGGUACUUAGGCUUGCUAAUUAAGUGAUCAAUUUAAAAUAAACUGUGGGAACCUAAUAUUGGUCUGUGUGGACAACAGCGAAGGCUUUAACCUUCAGGCACAUGAUGGGAGGUGCUAAGGUAAUACUUGCCUAAAUCCCUUCUGCUAUCACAUGGUUAUCAUCACGCUCCAUAGCUUACCCCAUUGAGAGUUGUCAUACGAGAUUGAGUGAACAGGCAGGGAAGGCUUUGUCUUUCUUAUUUUAGGAACCAGAGAUCUCAGAGGUUUGCUCCGAACAAAGAUUGAUCAUGUCUUCAUCAAGUAAGAUCAGUGCACUAAAUUCGUAUAAUAUGGUCAUGUUUAUUCUUACAUUGUAUACUCUCCAAAUAUUCAUUCUAAGCUACAGUUUGUGUAUCACUAACUAAAUUUUAAUUUUAUAUUAAUCCAUCUAGUUAGCCUGUUGUCGUAUGUUUCCAGUACUUGUCACCUAAUCUUUAAAAUUUUAUUUAUCGCUUCUCACGACUCUUCAACAAGAACAAUCUCAUUUCCAACAAGCAUUCCCUGUGAACCUGUGACAACCUCUCUAGCCUAUGUUCAGUAAACAAAUCCAGAACCUAUAGAAAAAUAAGGGCUCAAAACUGACCCUUAAUUCACACCUUUAGUUAUUGGGAAGUCUUCAACAUUCCCACCUAGUGUUGUAACACUAGCUGUGCCCCUCUCAUACAUUAUAUUAUUCCCUUUCUACAUCAAUAAAAGCCAUGUAUAAGUUUAAUUAAUCCCAUCUACAUCUCACCAUCAAUUUUCGUAACAGAUAUAUAGCUUCAUUGUUGAUCUACCGGGGAUAAAACUAAAUAGAUUUAUGUGAUGUUGGUGUCCUCUUAAUUUAUUCUCAAUCUACCAAAGUUCCACAGGUGACUCAUGAGCUCCAUCAUCUAUAGGUUGCACAGUUUUGUAUGUCCUCUCUGUUCUUAAAAAAAGAGAUUAAAUACUUCUCCUUCAUUUAUUUCUGAUGUUGGAGUAGACCUAGAAAAACUAUAAGGCUGUGUUUGGG
This 1911-nucleotide long non-coding RNA is filed under the name Medicago truncatula (barrel medic). RNAcentral describes it as "long non-coding RNA (MTRU_LNC002726)". Lineage: Eukaryota; Viridiplantae; Streptophyta; Magnoliopsida; Fabales; Fabaceae. The record is from RNAcentral.